GUGGGGAAUCUUGCGCAAUGGGCGAAAGCCUGACGCAGCCAUGCCGCGUGAAUGAUGAAGGUCUUAGGAUUGUAAAAUUCUUUCACCGGGGACGAUAAUGACGGUACCCGGAGAAGAAGCCCCGGCGAACUUCGUGCCAGCAGCCGCGGUAAUACGAAGGGGGCUAGCGUUGCUCGGAAUUACUGGGCGUAAAGGGCGCGUAGGCGGACAGUUUAGUCAGAGGUGAAAGCCCAGGGCUCAACCUUGGAAUUGCCUUUGAUACUGGCUGUCUUGAGUACGGGAGAGGGGAGUGGAACUCCGAGUGUAGAGGUGAAAUUCGUAGAUAUUCGGAAGAACACCAGUGGCGAAGGCGACUCACUGGCCCGUUACUGACGCUGAGGCGCGAAAGCGUGGGGAGCAAACAGGAUUAGAAACCCCAGUAGUCC
Molecule: ribosomal RNA, 425 nt
Filed under: uncultured bacterium
Lineage: Bacteria
Description: partial 16S ribosomal RNA
Rfam family: Bacterial small subunit ribosomal RNA
Source: RNAcentral